RNAcentral lists this ribosomal RNA (583 nucleotides) under uncultured bacterium. Its description in RNAcentral is "partial 16S ribosomal RNA". It matches the Rfam family "Bacterial small subunit ribosomal RNA", at positions 355 to 935 of the family's 1533-position model. The record is from RNAcentral.
UGGGGAAUUUUGGACAAUGGGCGAAAGCCUGAUCCAGCAAUGCCGCGUGUGUGAAGAAGGCCUUCGGGUUGUAAAGCACUUUUGUCCGGAAAGAAAUCCUUGGCUCUAAUACAGUCGGGGGAUGACGGUACCGGAAGAAUAAGCACCGGCUAACUACGUGCCAGCAGCCGCGGUAAUACGUAGGGUGCAAGCGUUAAUCGGAAUUACUAGGCGUAAAGCGUGCGCAGGCGGUUUGCUAAGACCGAUGUGAAAUCCCCGGGCUCAACCUGGGAACUGCAUUGGUGACUGGCAGGCUAGAGUAUGGCAGAGGGGGGUAGAAUUCCACGUGUAGCAGUGAAAUGCGUAGAGAUGUGGAGGAAUACCGAUGGCGAAGGCAGCCCCCUGGGCCAAUACUGACGCUCAUGCACGAAAGCGUGGGGAGCAAAACAGGAUUAGAUACCCUGGUAGUCCACGCCCUAAACGAUGUCAACUAGUUGUUGGGGAUUCAUUUCCUUAGUAACGUAGCUAACGCGUGAAGUUGACCGCCUGGGGAGUACGGUCGCAAGAUUAAAACUCAAAUGAAUUGACGGGGUCAUAGCUGUUU